Molecule: ribosomal RNA, 47 nt
Filed under: Enterocytozoon bieneusi
Lineage: Eukaryota; Fungi; Microsporidia; Enterocytozoonidae
Description: partial large subunit ribosomal RNA
Source: RNAcentral
CAGUAGGGUGCCUUCAAAAGGUGUAUUUGGAAAUAUCCCUAAUACAG